Molecule: ribosomal RNA, 96 nt
Filed under: Streptococcus thermophilus
Lineage: Bacteria; Bacillati; Bacillota; Bacilli; Lactobacillales; Streptococcaceae
Source: RNAcentral
AGAUACACCUGUUCCCAUGCCGAACACAGAAGUUAGGCCCGAGUACGCCGGAUGUAGUGGGGGGUUGCCCCCUGUUAGAGACGGUAGUCGCUUAGC